This is a non-coding RNA of Mycena belliarum, 111 nucleotides long. The record is from the annotation of a GenBank genome assembly. Lineage: Eukaryota; Fungi; Basidiomycota; Agaricomycetes; Agaricales; Mycenaceae.
GGGCACAUGGUGUAGUUGGUUAUCACGCUCGCUUAGCAACCCAGUUAAAAACGGUUUAACCGUAAGGGCCUGUAAUGCGAGAGGUGUUGGGUUCAAUUCCCAAUGUGUCCA